AUUGAACGCUGGCGGCAGGCCUAACACAUGCAAGUCGAACGGUAACAGGAAGAAGCUUGCUUCUUUGCUGACGAGUGGCGGACGGGUGAGUAAUGUCUGGGAAACUGCCUGAUGGAGGGGGAUAACUACUGGAAACGGUAGCUAAUACCGCAUAACGUCGCAAGACCAAAGAGGGGGACCUUCGGGCCUCUUGCCAUCGGAUGUGCCCAGAUGGGAUUAGCUAGUAGGUGGGGUAACGGCUCACCUAGGCGACGAUCCCCAGCUGGUCUGAGAGGAUGACCAGCCACACUGGAACUGAGACACGGUCCAGACUCCUACGGGAGGCAGCAGUGGGGAAUAUUGCACAAUGGGCGCAAGCCUGAUGCAGCCAUGCCGCGUAUAUGAAGAAGGCCUUCGGGUUGUAAAGUACUUUCAGCGGGGAGGAAGGGAGUAAAGUUAAUACCUUUGCUCAUUGACGUUACCCGCAGAAGAAGCACCGGCUAACUCCGUG
RNAcentral lists this ribosomal RNA (490 nucleotides) under uncultured bacterium. RNAcentral describes it as "partial 16S ribosomal RNA". It matches the Rfam family "Bacterial small subunit ribosomal RNA", at positions 30 to 507 of the family's 1533-position model. The record is from RNAcentral.